RNAcentral lists this unclassified non-coding RNA (148 nucleotides) under Cadophora melinii. RNAcentral's name for it is "partial internal transcribed spacer 2". The record is from RNAcentral. Lineage: Eukaryota; Fungi; Ascomycota; Leotiomycetes; Helotiales; Ploettnerulaceae.
UAACCACUCAAGCCUUCGCUUGGUAUUGGGGUUCGCGGUCUCGCGGCCCCUAAAAUCAGUGGCGGUGCCUGUCGGCUCUACGCGUAGUAAUACUCCUCGCGUCUGGGUUCCGGUAGGUUGCUUGCCAACAACCCCCAAAUUUUUUACA